UCGCAACAAAAUUUGAAUUUUUGAACAUUAAAAUAUUAUAUAAAGAAAACGAAAUAUACAAAAAAUGUUUAAGCAAAGUUAAGAGAACAACGAAGUCAUAAAAAAAAAAAGAAGAAAAUUAAAUAAAAGAAAAUAAAGAAAUUUAGUGAACGAGGGAAAAGUAAAUAAGUAAAGCAAUGGCUACCGAUUUACAGCCAGGAAAAUAUGUUGGACUUGUUGCCGACCUUAUGCCCAACAUCAAAUUGAUGAAAUUUUCGGGUUUAUUUAUGCAUGCGUUCACUAGCGGGUCGGCACUUGGGAAAAAAAUCUAUUCAUCCAUACAUCUCGCUUUAAUUGUAUUACAAUUUUUAUCGAUAUUGGUCAAUAUGGCCUUGAAUGCGGAUGAAGUCAAUGAAUUAUCUGGUAAUACUAUUACAGUUCUCUUCUUUACACACAGCAUUACAAAGUUUAUUUACUUGGCCUGCAGUCAGAAAAAUUUUUAUCGAACUAUUAGUAUAUGGAAUCAAGUCAAUACGCAUCCUUUGUUCGCUGAAUCCGAUGCACGUUAUCAUUCAAUUGCUUUAGCGAAAAUGCGUAAAUUAUUCUUCUUAGUAAUGCUUACUACAGUUGCAUCAGCUGUAGCGUGGGUUACUCUAACAUUUUUUGGUGAAAGUGUUAAAUUUGCUGUUGAUAAGGAGAAUAAUUCCACCAUAACUGUGGAGAUACCCCGUUUACCAAUUAAAUCUUUUUACCCUUGGGAUGCCAGCAGCGGAAUAUCGUAUAUCAUAUCCUUUAUCUAUCAAGCGUACUUUAUACUGUUCGCUCUAUCUCAUGCAAAUUUAUGCGAUAUAUUAUUCUGUUCAUGGUUAAUAUUCGCUUGUGAGCAAUUGCAACAUCUAAAGAGUAUUAUGAAACCAUUAAUGGAAUUAUCCGCCUCAUUGGAUACGUUUCGUCCCGAUUCUGGAGCUCUAUUUCGUUCAUUGUCAGCACAUUCCAAGGCCGAAUUGAUUGAAAAUGAAGAAAAAGAACCACCUUCAAGCAACGGUUUAGAUUUGUCGGGCAUUUAUAGCAGCAAAGCGGAUUGGGGCGCUCAGUUUCGUGCCCCCUCGACCCUACAAACGUUUAACAAUAACAAUCCGAAUGGUUUAACUAAAAAACAAGAAAUGAUGGUACGCAGCGCCAUUAAAUAUUGGGUGGAACGGCACAAACAUGUUGUAAGAUUAGUAGCAGCCAUAGGUGACACUUAUGGCGUCGCAUUAUUAUUGCAUAUGUUGACGGCAACUAUAAAAUUGACGCUAUUGGCAUACCAAGCGACCAAAAUUACGGGCGUUAAUGUUUAUGCACUCGGUGUCGUCGGUUAUUUGGGUUAUUCGUUGGCACAAGUGUUUCAUUUCUGUAUAUUUGGCAAUCGUCUGAUUGAGGAGGUAACGUAGAUAUAUACAUGUAUGCACUACUUACUUAUUAGGUACUUGCAUGUAUUUUGAUCAUUUACUCACUUGAAAAAGGUAUUUAUUGAGCAAAACUGAUACAUUAUAUAUUAAGUCAAAUAUUUUCCGUCCGGCAACGUGGAGAUAUUGUGUCAAAAGAACGAUACUGGUUUGGCAAUGAUUCAAUCAUCGACCUCUUUUCACACUUCUUCAGGAUUUCGAAACCGCAUGCCAGCCGAGCCAUGCUUCAUCACAGCAUUAUGUAUGUAUGGGUAAAUAUAUAUGUAUUCAAGCGUCCACUAAGGCAGAAUAUGAACCAACAACAACAAGUUAGAAACAGAAAAAGUGACUUACCGGCCAUGAUGGUGUAAUAAUUCUGUUAAACAAAACACAACCGUGCGUACUUCACGAGUGGUAAUAAGAUGUCGCUACGUCUGGUGGGUACGUUGGGUGCAGUAACAAUGUAUCCUUAACAUCUCUUACAACGUGUGGCGGACGUCGCCAUGCAAGCGGGUGGCUUUGUGUUUGCUAACCACAACUUCUGCUCAAUCGAACGUUGAAUUUUUUCAAUUGAUAUCGGUAGACAUCCGCAGUAACAAUUUCGUUCGUUAUUAGCAGCUCGUAACACACUGCAGCUUGCUGAUUCAAUCGUAUGCACAGGAAAACCAUAUGGCCAUGAAUAUUCCGUUGCGUUGUCGCUGGGGAUGGCGAUCCUGGAUUAACCGUAUUUUUUUUCGCUUGGGAUUAGCCCGGUGGAUCCAUUUUUCAUUCCCAGUCAUAGAGCGCCUUUUGCUUCUUUGCUUGGCAAGCAAUGAAACCGUGAUAUUCGGAAUGGCAUUUUCCGUUAAAUGGUAUGGUAGUCAUAUUCUCCCUUCUUCGAUCUGUCCAAUUGCUUGAAAAUCUCUAGAAACAUUUAAUUAAGCAAAUGCAAAGCUAUUCGAAAGCUCCUUGAAAGUUUAAGCUCGUUAAGCGACGAAACGACAAUGGGAUAUGAUGGAGGAGCACCACCAGAAGCUUCUAAAACUGUUUGACGGGCUUGACAGUAAAUUUGUUCAAAUCAAACAACAAAAGUUAUGAGUGUCGAAAGUGCUCUUAUAAGCAUUCCAUGAUUAGUAUCUGUAUAUAUUGAACAAAUCAACAAUACUAAAUGGAAAAUUGAAGAAGACAAAACUAUGAAGAGAAAAGUUAAAAUCGAAUUUAACCUUUGUGCACAUUCCUACUUUGCAUUACUUUAUCAUUUUCACCAAUAGAUGUUACUUGUCAUACAAAUACAUGCAAACAAUUAAUACAAUACAUUGGUGCAUAACUAUCAGGCGUUCUUAAACGAUUUUAUCAGGUAUCAGUGCUUAUGAACACUAUUUGUUAAGGAAAAGUAAACAUAAAAAUUCAACAGUAAUAAUAUUUAAAUGACUAAUCCGGAGCGUAGAUUCAAUAAUUGAAGUAAAUGGUGGCUUUCCAUUUGCUUGGAAGGCGGCCGAUUACACGGGUAGAGAAUUAACGGUUCCUGAGGGCAAUCCAUCGAUUGACAUCGGCGGCUAAAUUAUUGCGCCUGGUCGCCGAAAUCCGAGAGCCGAACUCUUCCUGAGUUAUUUAAAACGGGCAAACCAUUGCCUGCGAGGACUUUCACUGAUUGUGCCCUCACCGAAAACUUCCUUGAGAUCGCAAAGUGACUGCGCUACUUCCCUGGAAGACGGUCGAUUACAUGGGCAAAGAAUUCACCCUUAUUAGAAGCAAUCCAAGCUUUGACGUCCGCCACUAAGUUAUUGCGACUGGUUCUCGAAAUUCGAUGAUCGACCUAGUCCUGGCUUAUCUUCCAAGCUAGUGUCGCCAGAUUUGGAAUGGGCAAACCAUUCCCUGCAUCGACUUUCGCUGAUUGUGUCCUCACCGAAAAAUUCGUUGAAAUCGUGAAGUGACUGCGCUGCUUUCCAUCCUUUUCCAAAGUGAUACAAGAUAAUAUGAGGAAUAUGAGUACGAUUAUCGACAGGCAUUUUUAUAACCUAAAAAGUUCAUCGGUUAUGGAGGCGGCUUAUUCAUGUCAUUGGUAUGAUGGUUCAGAAGAAGCCAAGACAUUUGUACAAAUCGUUUGUCAACA
Molecule: RNA transcript, 3498 nt
Organism: Glossina fuscipes
Lineage: Eukaryota; Metazoa; Arthropoda; Insecta; Diptera; Glossinidae
Gene: Orco
Gene name: odorant receptor coreceptor
Exons: 7
Source: RefSeq, a predicted model, not a curated record